Molecule: ribosomal RNA, 336 nt
Filed under: unidentified microorganism
Description: bacterial SSU rRNA
Rfam family: Bacterial small subunit ribosomal RNA
Source: RNAcentral
UACACAUGCAGUCGAACGGCAGCACGGGGGCAACCCUGGUGGCGAGUGGCGAACGGGUGAGUAACAUAUCGGAACGUGCCCUGGAGUGGGGGAUAACUAGUCGAAAGAUUAGCUAAUACCGCAUACGAUCUACGGAUGAAAGUGGGGGAUCGCAAGACCUCAUGCUCGUGGAGCGGCCGAUAUCUGAUUAGCUAGUUGGUGGGGUAAAGGCCUACCAAGGCAUCGAUCAGUAGCUGGUCUGAGAGGACGACCAGCCACACUGGGACUGAGACACGGCCCAGACUCCUACGGGAGGCAGCAGUGGGGAAUUUUGGACAAUGGGCGCAAGCCUGAUCC